This 497-nucleotide ribosomal RNA is filed under the name uncultured bacterium. RNAcentral's name for it is "partial 16S ribosomal RNA". It matches the Rfam family "Bacterial small subunit ribosomal RNA", at positions 28 to 507 of the family's 1533-position model. The record is from RNAcentral.
GAUGAACGCUGGCGGCGUGCCUAAUACAUGCAAGUCGAGCGAACGGACGAGAAACUUGCUUUUCUGAUGUUAGCGGCGGACGGGUGAGUAACACGUGGAUAACCUACCUAUAAGACUGGGAUAACUUCGGGAAACCGGAGCUAAUACCGGAUAAUAUUUUGAACCGCAUGGUUCAAAAGUGAAAGACGGUCUUGCUGUCACUUAUAGGUGGAUCCGCGCUGCAUUAGCUAGUUGGUAAGGUAACGGCUUACCAAGGCAACGAUGCAUAGCCGACCUGAGAGGGUGAUCGGCCACACUGGAACUGAGACACGGUCCAGACUCCUACGGGAGGCAGCAGUAGGGAAUCUUCCGCAAUGGGCGAAAGCCUGACGGAGCAACGCCGCGUGAGUGAUGAAGGUCUUCGGAUCGUAAAACUCUGUUAUUAGGGAAGAACAUAUGUGUAAGUAACUGUGCACAUCUUGACGGUACCUAAUCAGAAAGCCACGGCUAACUACGUG